Molecule: ribosomal RNA, 292 nt
Filed under: uncultured bacterium
Lineage: Bacteria
Description: partial 16S ribosomal RNA
Rfam family: Bacterial small subunit ribosomal RNA
Source: RNAcentral
GAUGCCUACGGGACGCAGCAGUGGGGAAUAUUGCACAAUGGGGGAAACCCUGAUGCAGCGACGCCGCGUGAAGGAUGAAGUAUUUCGGUAUGUAAACUUCUAUCAGCAGGGAAGAAAAUGACGGUACCUGACCAAGAAGCCCCGGCUAACUACGUGCCAGCAGCCGCGGUAAUACGUAGGGGGCAAGCGUUAUCCGGAAUUACUGGGUGUAAAGGGAGCGUAGACGGCUGUGCAAGUCUGGAGUGAAAGGCGGGGGCCCAACCCCCGGACUGCUCUGGAAACUGUAUGGCUG